UAGGGAAUUUUCGUCAAUGGGGCGCAAGCCUGAACGAGGACCAAUGCCGCGUGAACGAGGAAGGUCUUCGGAUCGUAAAGUUCUGUUGAGAGGGAAAAAGGGUCACCAGAGUAAAUGCUGGUGAAGUGAUAUUACCUUCGAGGAAGUCACGGCUAACUACGUGCC
This 165-nucleotide ribosomal RNA is filed under the name uncultured bacterium. RNAcentral's name for it is "partial 16S ribosomal RNA". It matches the Rfam family "Bacterial small subunit ribosomal RNA", at positions 355 to 509 of the family's 1533-position model. The record is from RNAcentral.